RNAcentral lists this ribosomal RNA (253 nucleotides) under uncultured bacterium. RNAcentral describes it as "partial 16S ribosomal RNA". It matches the Rfam family "Bacterial small subunit ribosomal RNA", at positions 524 to 776 of the family's 1533-position model. The record is from RNAcentral.
UACGGAGGGAGCUAGCGUUGUUCGGAAUUACUGGGCGUAAAGCGCGCGUAGGCGGCUUUGUAAGUUAGAGGUGAAAGCCUGGAGCUCAACUUCAGAAUUGCCUUUAAGACUGCAUCGCUUGAAUCCGGGAGAGGUGAGUGGAAUUCCGAGUGUAGAGGUGAAAUUCGUAGAUAUUCGCAAGAACACCAGUGGCGAAGGCGGCUCGCUGGCCCGAUACUGACGCUGAGGCACGAAAGCGUGGGGAGCAAACAGG